RNAcentral lists this long non-coding RNA (210 nucleotides) under Lathyrus oleraceus (garden pea). RNAcentral's name for it is "Pisum sativum (pea) long non-coding RNA (PSAT_LNC035805)". Lineage: Eukaryota; Viridiplantae; Streptophyta; Magnoliopsida; Fabales; Fabaceae. The record is from RNAcentral.
AACAGUAUCGAGAGACCAGGAUGUUGGAAAGUUGUGUUAAACAUAUCCCAUAACCUUUCAACAGGAAGCCUUGUAACCAAGCAAAAUAUCUCCCAAUGUUCAUUAUACAUGACCCACCUCAGGGGUGUUUGAUGGACCUUUAAAACCAUUGCAUAAAUCAGCAUGCAUUAAUCAUGCCACGCAUAUCGUUCAUCUAGCAUAGCAUGAAGC